RNAcentral lists this small nucleolar RNA (68 nucleotides) under Leptobrachium leishanense (Leishan spiny toad). RNAcentral describes it as "Small nucleolar RNA SNORD101 (ENSLLEG00000013771.1)". It matches the Rfam family "Small nucleolar RNA SNORD101". Rfam says of the family: snoRNA U101 is a member of the C/D class of snoRNA which contain the C (UGAUGA) and D (CUGA) box motifs and guide the 2'-O-methylation of rRNA and snRNAs. The precise target of this family is unknown. The record is from Rfam by way of RNAcentral. Lineage: Eukaryota; Metazoa; Chordata; Amphibia; Anura; Megophryidae.
GUUUGUGUGAUGAUCUAAUUGUCGGAUACCCCUUCACUCGGCUGAGUGAUCACUUCGAUCUGAUGAAC